GAUGAACGCUGGCGGCGUGCCUAAUACAUGCAAGUCGAGCGAACGGACGAGAAGCUUGCUUCUCUGAUGUUAGCGGCGGACGGGUGAGUAACACGUGGAUAACCUACCUAUAAGACUGGGAUAACUUCGGGAAACCGGAGCUAAUACCGGAUAAUAUUUUGAACCGCAUGGUUCAAAAGUGAAAGACGGUCUUGCUGUCACUUAUAGAUGGAUCCGCGCUGCAUUAGCUAGUUGGUAAGGUAACGGCUUACCAGGGCAACGAUGCAUAGCCGACCUGAGAGGGUGAUCGGCCACACUGGAACUGAGACACGGUCCAGACUCCUACGGGAGGCAGCAGUAGGGAAUCUUCCGCAAUGGGCGAAAGCCUGACGGAGCAACGCCGCGUGAGUGAUGAAGGUCUUCGGAUCGUAAAACUCUGUUAUUAGGGAAGAACAUAUGUGUAAGUAACUGUGCACAUCUUGACGGUACCUAAUCAGAAAGCCACGGCUAACUACGUGCCAGCAGCCGCGGUAAUACGUAGGUGGCAAGCGUUAUCCGGAAUUAUUGGGCGUAAAGCGCGCGUAGGCGGUUUUUUAAGUCUGAUGUGAAAGCCCACGGCUCAACCGUGGAGGGUCAUUGGAAACUGGAAAACUUGAGUGCAGAAGAGGAAAGUGGAAUUCCAUGUGUAGCGGUGAAAUGCGCAGAGAUAUGGAGGAACACCAGUGGCGAAGGCGACUUUCUGGUCUGUAACUGACGCUGGUGUGCGAAAGCGUGGGGAUCAAACAGGAUUAGAUACCCUGGUAGUCCACGCCGUAAACGAUGAGUGCUAAGUGUUAGGGGGUUUCCGCCCCUUAGUGCUGCAGCUAACGCAUUAAGCACUCCGCCUGGGGAGUACGACCGCAAGGUUGAAACUCAAAGGAAUUGACGGGGACCCGCACAAGCGGUGGAGCAUGUGGUUUAAUUCGAAGCAACGCGAAGAACCUUACCAAAUCUUGACAUCCUUUGACAACUCUAGAGAUAGAGCCUUCCCCUUCGGGGGACAAAGUGACAGGUGGUGCAUGGUUGUCGUCAGCUCGUGUCGUGAGAUGUUGGGUUAAGUCCCGCAACGAGCGCAGCCCUUAAGCUUAGUUGCCAUCAUUAAGUUGGGCACUCUAAGUUGACUGCCGGUGACAAACCGGAGGAAGGUGGGGAUGACGUCAAAUCAUCAUGCCCCUUAUGAUUUGGGCUACACACGUGCUACAAUGGACAAUACAAAGGGCAGCGAAGCCGCGAGGUCAAGCAAAUCCCAUAAAGUUGUUCUCAGUUCGGAUUGUAGUCUGCAACUCGACUACAUGAAGCUGGAAUCGCUAGUAAUCGUAGAUCAGCAUGCUACGGUGAAUACGUUCCCGGGUCU
This 1372-nucleotide ribosomal RNA is filed under the name uncultured bacterium. Its description in RNAcentral is "bacterial SSU rRNA". It matches the Rfam family "Bacterial small subunit ribosomal RNA", at positions 28 to 1381 of the family's 1533-position model. The record is from RNAcentral.